RNAcentral lists this ribosomal RNA (637 nucleotides) under uncultured bacterium. Its description in RNAcentral is "bacterial SSU rRNA". It matches the Rfam family "Bacterial small subunit ribosomal RNA", at positions 607 to 1244 of the family's 1533-position model. The record is from RNAcentral.
GCUCAACCGGGGAGGGUCAUUGGAAACUGGGGAACUUGAGUGCAGAAGAGGAGAGUGGAAUUCCACGUGUAGCGGUGAAAUGCGUAGAGAUGUGGAGGAACACCAGUGGCGAAGGCGACUCUCUGGUCUGUAACUGACGCUGAGGCGCGAAAGCGUGGGGAGCGAACAGGAUUAGAUACCCUGGUAGUCCACGCCGUAAACGAUGAGUGCUAAGUGUUAGAGGGUUUCCGCCCUUUAGUGCUGCAGCAAACGCAUUAAGCACUCCGCCUGGGGAGUACGGUCGCAAGACCGAAACUCAAAGGAAUUGACGGGGGCCCGCACAAGCGGUGGAGCAUGUGGUUUAAUUCGAAGCAACGCGAAGAACCUUACCAGGUCUUGACAUCCUCUGACAACCCUAGAGAUAGGGCUUCCCCUUCGGGGGCAGAGUGACAGGUGGUGCAUGGUUGUCGUCAGCUCGUGUCGUGAGAUGUUGGGUUAAGUCCCGCAACGAGCGCAACCCUUGAUCUUAGUUGCCAGCAUUCAGUUGGGCACUCUAAGGUGACUGCCGGUGACAAACCGGAGGAAGGUGGGGAUGACGUCAAAUCAUCAUGCCCCUUAUGACCUGCGCUACACACGUGCUACAAUGGGCAGAACAAAG